This 776-nucleotide ribosomal RNA is filed under the name uncultured Neocallimastigales. Its description in RNAcentral is "partial large subunit ribosomal RNA". It matches the Rfam family "Eukaryotic large subunit ribosomal RNA", at positions 24 to 614 of the family's 3401-position model. The record is from RNAcentral. Lineage: Eukaryota; Fungi; Neocallimastigomycota; Neocallimastigomycetes; Neocallimastigales.
UAUCUCUGUAGAGUCUGCAUAUCAAAUAAGCGGAGGAAAAGAACUAACUAGGAUUCCCUCAGUAACGGCGAGUGAAGCGGGAAGAGCUCAAAUUUGAAAUCUUCAAGGUUUUACCUUGACGAAUUGUAGUUUAAAGAAGUGUUUUCUGUUGGAGUUUUGGUAAAAGUUCUUUGGAAUAGGACAUCAUAGAGGGUGAGAAUCCCGUAUUUGACCAUUAUUUCCAGCUUUGUGAUACACUUUCAAAGAGUCGGAUUGUUUGGGAAUGCAGUCCAAAAUGGGUGGUAAAUCUCAUCUAAAGCUAAAUACUGGCGAGAGACCGAUAGCGAACAAGUACCGUGAGGGAAAGAUGAAAAGAACUUUGAAAAGAGAGUUAAACAGUACGUGAAAUUGUCAAAAGGGAAGCGUUUGACACCAGUGUUGUUUUCUCGAAAAUCAAUUAAAAAUGGCGGGAUUUUGUGUUGUAUUGACUUUAUCAGCUUUCUGCACUUUUUUCCAGUCUUUUUUAAUGCACUUUUCGUUUAACAAGUCAACAUCAAUUUCUUUUGUUGUAAAAGAGGUCAUUGGAAGGUGGCUUUCUUUUCGGAGAAAGUGUUUAUAGCCUUUGGCCUCUGCAAUCGGAGAGAUUGAGGUCUGCAGCGUAGAUCCUUCCGGGGUUAGAUACAUUUGUGCUAAGUUAUAGCCUUUCAUAGACAACUUGUUGACUAUGAUCAGUCAUGUAGCUUACUCGCUUAUGCUAUUUUACCUACGCUUAGGAUGUUGAGUCAUCACACAUCUCU